RNAcentral lists this ribosomal RNA (305 nucleotides) under uncultured bacterium. RNAcentral's name for it is "bacterial SSU rRNA". It matches the Rfam family "Bacterial small subunit ribosomal RNA", at positions 337 to 658 of the family's 1533-position model. The record is from RNAcentral.
CCCUACGGGGGGCAGCAGUGGGGAAUAUUGCACAAUGGGGGAAACCCUGAUGCAGCAACGCCGCGUGAGUGAAGAAGGUUUUCGGAUUGUAAAGCUCUGUUAGCAGGGAAGAGGAAGGACGGUACCUGCAGAGGAAGCCCCGGCUAACUACGUGCCAGCAGCCGCGGUAAUACGUAGGGGGCGAGCGUUAUCCGGAUUUACUGGGUGUAAAGGGAGCGUAGACGGUUCUGCAAGUCUGAAGUGAAAGCCCGUGGCUUAACCGCGGAACGGCUUUGGAAACUGUGGAACUGGAGUGCUGGAGAGGC